RNAcentral lists this ribosomal RNA (572 nucleotides) under Lentinula lateritia. RNAcentral's name for it is "eukaryotic LSU rRNA". The stretch from base 270 to 423 matches the Rfam family "5.8S ribosomal RNA". The record is from RNAcentral. Lineage: Eukaryota; Fungi; Basidiomycota; Agaricomycetes; Agaricales; Omphalotaceae.
CCGUAGGUGAACCUGCGGAAGGAUCAUUAUUGAAUUUUUUGGUGGUGGAUUGUUGCUGGCCUUUGGGUAUGUGCACAUCCUCCUCUGAUUCUAUUCAUCCACCUGUGCACUUUUUGUAGGAGUUCUUUCAUCAGGUUUUGAACAGGUGCUCAUUACGAGUUAACUUGGGAAGGACUAGUUGAAAAGACUUCUAUGUUCUUAUAAACUAUUGAAGUAUGUUAUAGAAUGAUUUUGUUAUUGGGACUUUAUUGACCCUUUAAACUUAAUACAACUUUCAGCAACGGAUCUCUUGGCUCUCCCAUCGAUGAAGAACGCAGCGAAAUGCGAUAAGUAAUGUGAAUUGCAGAAUUCAGUGAAUCAUCGAAUCUUUGAACGCACCUUGCGCCCUCUGGUAUUCCGGAGGGCAUGCCUGUUUGAGUGUCAUUAAAUUCUCAACUUUAUAAGUUUUUACUUAUUAAAGCUUGGAUAUUGGAGGUUUGCAGGCGUUUGUCAGCUCCUCUUAAAUUUAUUAGUGGAACCCUGUUUUGUUGGUUUUCAACCUUGGUGUGAUAACUAUCUACAUUUUGGUUUGU